This 578-nucleotide ribosomal RNA is filed under the name uncultured Porphyromonadaceae bacterium. RNAcentral's name for it is "bacterial SSU rRNA". It matches the Rfam family "Bacterial small subunit ribosomal RNA", at positions 9 to 577 of the family's 1533-position model. Lineage: Bacteria; Pseudomonadati; Bacteroidota; Bacteroidia; Bacteroidales; Porphyromonadaceae. The record is from RNAcentral.
GAGUUUGAUCAUGGCUCAGGAUGAACGCUAGCGAUAGGCCUAACACAUGCAAGUCGAGGGGCAUCACAUGAAGCAGCAAUGCGGAUGGUGGCGACCGGCGCACGGGUGAGUAACACGUAUGCAACCUGCCUACAACAGGGGGAUAACCCGUUGAAAGACGGACUAAUACCCCAUAAUACAGGGGUCCCGCAUGGGAAUAUUUGUUAAAGAUUAAUCGGUUGUAGAUGGGCAUGCGUUCCAUUAGCUAGUUGGUGAUGUAACGGCCCACCAAGGCAACGAUGGAUAGGGGAACUGAGAGGUUUAUCCCCCACACUGGUACUGAGACACGGACCAGACUCCUACGGGAGGCAGCAGUGAGGAAUAUUGGUCAAUGGACGCAAGUCUGAACCAGCCACGUCGCGUGAAGGAAGACGGCCCCACGGGUUGUAAACUUCUUUUGUAAGGGAAUAAAGUGUAGUACGUGUACUAUUUUGCAUGUACCUUACGAAUAAGGAUCGGCUAACUCCGUGCCAGCAGCCGCGGUAAUACGGAGGAUCCGAGCGUUAUCCGGAUUUAUUGGGUUAAAGGGUGCGCAGGCG